CUUUCUUCCUCCCUCAAAUAUAUUUAGAACACCUGCCAUAAAGCAUUGUUCUUGACACUGAGAGCAAUGAAAAGAAACAGAUGAAAACUGUUGCCCAGAUGAAUGCUUAUUCCAGUGGGAUAAAACGGAAACCUCAGGAGAGCAGGAAUCCACAGCACAUGGUUUUCCUGUGGACUACAGUUACAUUGUGGGUAUUUGUUAGGUAGUAAUUAUGUGUAUUAAUCUGGGGGAGAGAAAAUUUGCAAAUGUUUUAUUUCUUUUGCUUUCUUUGGUGCCACCCUUUUCAUUAAUUUUUAAAGGAAAACCACUGAAUUCGUUCUGACUCUCACUUAGGGUUCCCUUCCUGUGGGCGGGUGCACAUCCAGCUGAUUGCCUACGGAGGAGGAGAUCCUGGGGGCAGGAAGGAGGUCAUGCCCAACCUCUCUCCAGCAGGAAGCUCCACAGAGGGACCCGGUGCGCUGGCCGCGGGGCUAUGAAAUGCAGUGAUGCAUAGUGAAAAUAUGAGGGGCAGAGCUUCACGCUGCUGUCGAGAAAUGAUCUUCUGAUGCAUCAGAGUCACAAAACCGAAUCAAGGAAGCCAAGGGUGGAGGCUGCAUGUAUCGUAAUUCUCGAAACACUGAAUGCCAGUGAAGGAUUAAGGAACUGGCCUCUGCCACGUCCCCUGGAACAUCAGCGGGAAUAUGUAACAAAAGAUUUUUGUAGGCAGAGACUCGUGUUUGAGAAGCAUGGUGGAGCGUUCUGCACAAAACUCCUGAGAUACAGCCAAAAAAAGAGCUCCUGAAUGAUUGAGCCCUGGCCGGGAGAUGGGAAAUUUGGCACCUGACUUAAUAGGAUCCAAUAGUUAUCUAACCAUGGGAUGUAUCUGUGGCUUUCAGGAGGGAGCUUUUGGGACCUCGGGGUGAUGUCUGUGCUGGGAAGAAGUUUUGUCUUUGAGCCCAUGUGUUUCUAAGCAAUAAUGUUCUCUUCUGUGGAAUAAAUGUUCCUGAGCACUAGUGUGAACAUAUAAU
RNAcentral lists this long non-coding RNA (1007 nucleotides) under Sus scrofa (pig). Lineage: Eukaryota; Metazoa; Chordata; Mammalia; Artiodactyla; Suidae. The record is from RNAcentral.